UCUACCUUACCAGCACCAAUUUGGGACGUAUAUUAAAGGAAAAUCUUUAUGUAUAAUUAUUCUCACACACUAGCUAGGCAUAAAAAGAUAAUGAUAGAUAUACUGAAACACUAGCUGAAUUGUCCAGAUCAGGAUCCCAUAUAGAUCUAGUUCCUGUUACAUUUCCUUUUACAACUUCCUGUUAGAUAUUCUAGGUUUUAGUUAUUAUUUUGCACAAGCCCUCCCUAGUAAAGAAGCAACCAAGCAGAGCAGAGUGAGACUGCAAGACUGCACCAGUUUGGCACCAUAGGACCUACUACUAGAGUUUCUAUUGCAAGACUGGAUGCACUGUACUAAAUCCUCCUCAGGAGAACCGUCGCGGAAAUGGCUGAUGACAGCCAGUCAUGUGAUACUCCCCUACACACUGCUGCAAGAUGUGGGGAUGUAGAUGAGGUUAGAGAGCUGUUGAAAACAAAGCAAUAUGAAGUGGACGCCAGAAACUCACACAACCAAACAUCUCUUCAUCUUGCAUGUGCUAAUGGUCAUCUCGAUACGGUUUGGACACUAGCCAAUGACUUUGGUGCUGACAUAGGAGCUAUUGAUAAUAGUGGUAACACACCAUUGCUCUUUGCUGCUAAGAACAAACAUGUACAAAUAAUUAUCAUGUUGCUUCUAUUAUCAAUGUGUGGUAGACGCCUCUACAACGGAAUGAAACAGUUAUGUUCCUUUAGCUGUAGUCAGAUUGAUUCACAUCAUGUUAAAAUCUUUGAGGAUGUCCUCUUUGAGUAUUAUAAUAAUUCUGAAGCAGUGGAGAAAACUAUGCAACUAAUAUCCAAAUUCUUUGUCGAUUAUGUUGAAUUCAACGAUUAUAAAGAUGAUGGCUUUAUAACAUUGUUUGUAGCAGCAUCACUUGGUCUUAAAGACUUGAUCGAUCGGUUAAUUACAGAAAAGACAGCAGAUCUAAAUAUUAAGGGCUUCCGUGGCUUGUCUGUUCUCCACUGUGCCUGUUUUGGAGGACAUGUACUGCUCGUGGAGAGUCUUAUUUCAGAAUAUAGUAUGGACCCUUCUGUGAAAGAUAAAUUUGGGUGCUCAAUUUUACAUUAUGCAACAGUGGGACCUCCCCGUAGUGGCCACAUAGAACUAAUAGACAAAUUAGUGAUGAAAUAUGGUCUCAAUCCCACAGAUAAAACUAACAAAGGAAACACACCUCUACAUAUUGCAAUCAUGUUCAGAAAUGUUGAAACAGUGAGACACCUGAUAAGUAAGCACAGUGCUGAUAUCGAUUGCACUAAUAAUCAGAAUAAUACACCAUUGAUGCUAGCUGUGGUAAAUGGUCAUGUCAAUGUUUCCGAUGCGUUAGUCAAAGAAUUUAAGAACAGUUGUCAUGUCCGAGGUUACAAAAGUCGAAAUCUAGUUCACUUUGCAUGCGAAGGUGGCCAAGUAGAACUGAUAGACAAGCUGGUAAUGGAAUAUGACCUCAAACCUACAGUUAGAGAUGAUGAUGGAAACACACCUCUACAUAUUGCAGCCGCCGGAGGACAUAUUGAAGCAGUGAGACACCUGAUCAGUAAGCACAGUGCUGAUAUUGAUUGCACUAAUAAUCAGAACAAUACACCAUUGAUGCUAGCUGUGGGAAAUCGUCAUGUCAACGUUUUCGAUGCGUUAGUCAAAGAAUUUAAGAACAGUUGUCAUGUCCGAGGUUACAAAAGUCGAAAUCUAGUUCACUAUGCAUGCGAUGGUGGCCAAGUAGAACUGAUGGACAAGCUGGUAAUGGAAUAUGGCCUCGAACCCACAGUUAGUGAUGAUGAUGGAAACACACCUCUACAUAUUGCAGCUUUGAAAGGACAUGUUGAAACAGUGAGACACCUGAUCAGUAAGCACAGUGCUGAUAUUGAUUGCACUAAUAAUCAGAACAAUACACCAUUGAUGCUAGCUGUGGGAAAUCGUCAUGUCAACGUUUUCGAUGCGUUAGUCAAAGAAUUUAAGAACAAUUGUCAUGUCCGAGGUUACAAAAGUCGAAAUCUAAUUCACUAUGCAUGCGAAGGUGGCCAAGUAGAACUGAUGGACAAGCUGGUGAUGGAAUAUGGCCUCGAACCCACAGUUAGUGAUGACGAUGGAAACACACCUCUACAUAUUGCAGCUUCGAAAGGACAUGUUGAAACAGUGAGACACCUGAUCAGCAAGCACAGUGCUGAUAUCGAUUGCACUAAUAAUCAGAACAGUACUUCAUUGAUGUUAGCUGUGGGAAAUCGUCAUGUCAACGUUUUCGAUGCGUUAGUCAAAGAAUUUAAGAACAAUUGUCAUGUCCGAGGUUACAAAAGUCAAAAUCUAGUUCACUAUGCAUGCAUAGGUGGCCAAGUAGAACUGAUAGACAAGCUGGUGAUGGAACAUGGCCUCGAACCCACAGUUAGUGAUGAUGAUGGAAACACACCUCUACAUAUUGCAGCUUCGAAAGGACAUGUUGAAACAGUGAGACACCUGAUCUGCAAGCACAGUGCUGAUAUCGAUUGCACUAAUAAUCAGAACAGUAUUCCAUUGAUGUUAGCUGUGGGAAAUCGUCAUGUCAACGUUUUCGAUGCGUUAGUCAAAGAAUUUAAGAACAAUUGUCAUGUCCGAGGUUACAAAAGUCAAAAUCUAGUUCACUAUGCAUGCAUAGGUGGCCAAGUAGAACUGAUAGACAAGCUGGUGAUGGAACAUGGCCUCGAACCCACAGUUAGUGAUGAUGAUGGAAACACACCUCUACAUAUUGCAGCUUCGAAAGGACAUGUUGAAACAGUGAGAUACCUGAUAAGCAAGCACAGUGCUGAUAUCAAUUGCACUAAUAAUAAGAACAGCACAUCAUUGAUGCUAGCUGUGGCAAAUGGCCAUGUUAAUGUUUUCGAUGCGUUGGUCAAAGAAUUUAAGAACAAUUGUCAUGUCCGAGGUUACAACAGUCGAAAUCUAGUUCACUAUGCAUGCGAAGGUGGCCAAGUAGAACUGAUAGACAAGCUGGUGAUGGAAUACGGCCUUGAACCCACAGUUAGUGAUGAUAAUGGAAACACACCUCUACAUAUUGUAGCUAUGUUUGGACAUGUUGAAACAGUGAGACACCUGAUCAGCAAACACAGUGCUGAUAUCGAUUGCACUAAUAAUCAGAACAGUACUCCAUUGUGUUUAGCUGCGGCAUAUGGUCAUGAGAUUGUGAUACAUGCUCUGAUAGAGUUUAAUUGCAGUCCAUACAUCAGAGGCUACAAUGGUCAAACUCUGCUUCAUUAUGCUUGCCAAAAUGGUCAUAUAAAACUAUUAAAUAAACUGGUAACUGAACAUAAGGUGGAUCCAUCAAUUAGAGACAACGAUGGGAACACACCUCUGCAUCUUUUGUGUCGUACCUUGCAUACGGGAGAAGAGAAAUUGAGAAUAAUCCUUUGCGAGCACCGGUACUGGACAGUAUUUCAAGUUAAUAAUAAUGGCAACACACCUCUUCACACAGCAACUCGAUAUGGGCAAGCUCAUUGUGCACGCUUACUAUUGCAGAAAUAUAAUGCUCCCCUAUUUGUGCAAAAUAAAGAUGGUAGGACGGCCCUUGAUUUAGCUAAAGCUCAGGGAAGUCGACAUAUUGUUAGUAUUUUCUUAAGCCAUAAUUUUGAAAUUCAGUCAACCUACAAGCAACUAGAUAAACAGGAAUUUGCUGGUGAAAAAAACCUCACCAGAAUAUUUGUUGUAGGUCAUCCAGGUGCAGGGAAAUCCACGCUUGUUGAGACUAUUAAGAAAGAAGGUUUAUUCAGCUUCUUCAGCACAUCAACUGUAACACCCCACACCCCAGGUAAUAUUCCAAGUACUUAUGACAGUAAUGCUUAUGGAAGAAUGAUACUCUAUGAUUUUGCUGGUGAUUCCGAGUACUACUCCUCACAUGCUGCAAUAAUGGAGUCAAUCAACACAUCGAAAGGAAGUAAUAUCUAUCUGAUAGUUUGUGAUUUGAGUGAAGGUGAAGAAGCUGCUGCCACUAAAUACAGCUACUGGCUUUCAUUUCUAUCAUACAAUAUUAAGCAAUUCUCAAACACAGUUAUUUUAUUAGUCGGAAGCCAUGCUGAUGUCAUUAAAAAAUCGUCGGUUGAACCAGCAUUAUCUGUGCUUGACAGAAUAUCAAAAAAGUUCUGUAGCAACUACAAUAUCGAUAAUUUACACAUAGAACCAAGUGUUGCUCUUGAUUGUCGUAAUCAAGGAGCUGCAGUCGAUAACAUAAAGAAACUUGCUACGAAAUUCUUUGAUUUAGUAUCCCCCGUCAGACUUUCUCCGGAGUCAAGCACUCUCUUGGGAUUGUUGAAGAAAGACUUUGAACAUGUUACAGCUUGCAAAGUAAGCCUCCUUAUCUCUCAUAUUGAAGAGACUGGAAUUCCGCUGCCACUAAAUUCUUCAUCACUCUACACUCUCAUAAGAGAGUUACAUGAUUUGGGUCUGCUAAUGAUAAUAGAGAGAGAAGGGGACUCCAUUGAGAACCACAUAAUUAUUCUUAAGAUAUCUACAUUCACAUCGGAUGUACACAAUAAACUGUUUUCAAAGUCUGCUCGAGCGGAUCUCACAGAGCAUAUCGAUCAACUUAAGUUCAGCGUAGGCAUUAUUCCAGAAUCAAUACUGGAGAGAGUACUGCCAGAGUACAUCACAAAAAAAAGUCUACUUAAGCUGCAGUACUGUCAAGAAAUCGAGAAUUUGUACGUGCAAGAUGACCACGCUCUUUCUCAACUCCCUUUAGAACCAGUACCAACAGAUAGUGCCACUAAAGAGAAAUUUCAUUUAUUUUUCCCUGCUCUAUGUGAUCUCAAGCUCGAGGACAUUCAAUGGCCUAAACCUGAAGGUGAUAAGAUUACUUUGGGAUGGUAUGCUAAAUGUGAUGGUGACAGAUUUGAUUUCUUCCCAACACGAUUUCUUCACGUGCUUAUCGUUCACCUCUCUCACAACCCUGCACUAAAACAAAACCUGCCAACAAGACACAGACUCUCCAUUACAGCUUCCGAUUCUUUGAUUGCUGAGGUACAUGCUGCCAAUCCUCACUGUCGUGUCUGGUCAACUGGUUUGCAUUGGCUUAUGAAGAAUGGAGUAGAAGUAUUUGUCGAUAUGCCUAAAGACGCUGAUAGUAAAGAUCUGAUUGUACUAGCAAGAAGUGACAUAGAAAGUCGAUUCGAAUGUUCCAAAACUCUGAAACUAGUUAUUCAAAAAGUAGUCAAAGCAAAAAUGGAGUUUUGUGCUGGUAUACUGCCUACUGUUUACCUUCUUGAUCCGAGCAACCUCAAGGAUGAACCUUUUACAAAUGCUAGAAGUGCAUCUAAAUACUCUCUAAGAGAUAUUGAUGAAGCACUAGCAGAAGGGACUGAGCGAGUCAUGGAUAAAGAAGGACAAUGUUUCCCCACUCCAACCAAAGAGGAAUCAUCAUACUGGAGGUCGCCAUUUAUAAUCAGUUUAAUGCAACCCCAAGAUGUUUGCUGUAAACCUGGAGAGGAAGUAAAAUUUACUGUAUCGACAUCAUCAUCUGCUACUACGUGUGUUUAUCAAUGGUAUUUUGAAAACCAAGCACUAACACUUCAAAAUCCUGACUAUAAAGGGCAAACAUCUAAAUGUCUCCUAGUAUUAAAAUUCCUACCCAAACAUAAAGGUGUUUAUUGGUGUAUUAGUGAAGAUGGAUCAGGCACGCAGAUCACUUCACGUCAUGCAACACUCACUGCAGAUGGAGAGAUUAUUGAAAAACAAGAAUUGCAGUACAUAGGGAAAAUCAUUGAAAAUUCUGGUAUUAACUUUGGUAAAUAUGGCCUUCAGACAGAGCACUUACUCAAUGGUGAAAGUGAUGUCACUUAUGAAGAGAUGGAGCUUCUAAUGAAUGUAAAUCCAAGUACACAAUUACAAGUGUUGUCAAUAAACUUAAAGCAGGAAAUCACAUCAAGAAUAAAAGAGGAGCAACUCUAUGCCAAAGCCAUAAAAGAGAUGGUCUCCCUUUCCUACACCAAAAUCAUUGCCCUUGGUCCAGGCCAGGUUGGAAAGUCUACUUUUAUUCGCAGAUUGUUGGGAAUUAUGAAAGGAAAUGUCCAAACGUCUCUUCUAGAAACACAGCCCCAAUCUAGUACAGGUAUUUUGGAGUCAAGAGAAGCUUGUAUUCAGUAUAGCCGAGUAACUGGUGCUAUAGCCAACAAAAAGUGGUGUGUUUUACAAGAUGAGCUGCACAGUCAACUAAGUGGUUUAAUGUCACUAAUAAGUAAGCAAUCUCAGCAAGAUCCUGAGCACGAAAUAAUGAAACCGUUAAUUAAACAGAAAAAGUAUAUAACCCCAUUAGCAAAUUAUGUUCAAACUGUAGUAAAAAAACCGAUGAAUGUUGCUGCUGUGCGAAUGAAAGAGGAAAAGAAACAUGAUCAAGCUUUAUCCAAUCGUUCUGGAAUUCGAUCAGUGGAAUCACUGCCAGUUACACAAGAGCCAAGUGCUGCUAGUGCAUUGAUGCCUCGAGAAUCAGAUAUUGAUAUAACAAUUAGAGAGUUCAAAGAACUAAGAGAGAAAUGCAGACUAAACCCAGAUGGGGUAGAAUUUGAAAUGCUAUUUAAUGUAGCAGAUAUUGGUGGCCAACCAGCAUUUCUAGAGAUGCUACCAUCCUUAACUAUAGGACCAGCUCUAUACCUUGUGUUUAUGAAACUCAAACAAGGGCUAGGUUCAAGAUACACUGUGCAGUUUAAAUGCAAGGACUCAAAUGUUAGACUUUGUAAGAAUUACUCAUACACGUCAGAAGAAGUAAUAUUUUCAGCACUUUCAAGCAUAGCAUGCUUUGGACACUCAGAUGAACAAGUGGAAAUGUAUGUUCGGAAACCAGACUCAAGUGAUAGAAAGCGGAAAGAUUCUCUUGCGUUACUGGUAGGAACUUUUCUUGAUGAGAUUGAAGAUGAUCAACUCGAAGAUAUAACCAGCCAACUCGAGAAACAGCUCAAAAACACAGCAUUUUAUAAAGAAGGUCUCAUCCAUCGCAAACAUUUCAGUUUAUUAGUGAACAAUAUGAGUGCCGAAGAUAGUGAAAUAGAAGAUCACAGAGAAAAAUUGAAGCAAUACUCAGAAAUACAUUUCGGGAAUAUCAAAUCCCAACACAAUGGUUAAUGCUAAGUAUUUGUCUUAAGCUUCUUGCUAGAAAUCAAAACAAGUAUCAUGUUUCCUUUGAUGAUUGCAUCCUGUUGGGGAAGCAUUUCGAUAUGGAGGAAGAGAUGGUGAGUGUUGCCUUGCAAUUUCUACACAAAUACAUUGGGCUUGUCAUGUAUUUUCCUCAUCACGAGAAUCUCAAGAAAAUUGUUAUAUGUGAUCCGCAAGUUCUUUUUUUAACCAUCAGUGAACUAAUCUUCAACAUUUACGAUCACAACAAGGAUCAAGUUAGCCAAGCACAGUGUGACCACUUUGUUCAAACUGGUUGCUUUUCACCUCAAGAUAUAAUGUUAUUAAGUAAUAACGAUCUGCCUAUGAAUAAGAAACUUAUUUCUAUCGAUACAUUAGUUGAUCUAUUAGUUUACCUAAACAUUGCUGCUAAAGUACCAUUGUCUUCUUCUAAAGAGGAGUACUUUUUGCCUGCGGUUCUGCAAACUGCUGAAACAGACAUUGUAAAAAGGAAGGGUAAAGAAAAAAACAAGGAAUUGCUUCCGGAACCAAUCUGUAUUCGUUUCAAAACAGGAUUUUUACCUUUAGGAUUUGUAUGUGCUUUAAUUGCAAAUCUUAUUGCUGAAAAUAAUUUACGUCCACUCAUUGAUGAAAGCAACAAGUUUUACAAGAAUAGGAUUCAAUUUCGAUUCAAAAAUAACUUUAUUAUCUCUAUGAUUUCUUGGCCUAGGUAUUGUGAGUUUCGUGUCUCAAGGCACUCAGGCAAUAUUGAAUUUUGGAGUGAGGAUUGUUGCCCUCUUAUCAGUAAAAUUGUACGCACAGCUGCUAACAAGGUCAUUCAAUCUAUGCAGCAUGGCUUGCGUUCAAUAAGUAGAUCUAGGGAUUCUGAAAUGUAUGAAUUAGCUUUCCAGUGCCCAAGACAUCCUAAUGCAGACUAUGGACAGGAAUCUCUCGCUAAACUAGUUUAUGAUAAUUCCGACCAAGAUAUUUCUUUGAAUUUGGAUCCUAAGGAGGCUAUAUGCACAAAUCCAGAAUGUGGAACUGCUAUUGAUCCACUAACUCCCGAAAUGAUGGUUUGGUUUGGUAAAGUUCCAAGUAUCCUGCUGAGAAUUGAAAAACAGCCUACUCGAAAAGAAAAUGUCAUAAGCAUAAGUGCAGAGGGAGCACGACCACUAACAUAUGAAUGGUUUUUAAGAAAGAAUAAGCUCUGUGAUGGUGAUGACCAGGGC
Halichondria panicea is the source of this 8297-nucleotide RNA transcript. RefSeq lists it as uncharacterized. The transcript is spliced from 7 exons. The record is from RefSeq and is a predicted model, not a curated record. NCBI's taxonomy places the organism in Eukaryota, Metazoa, Porifera, Demospongiae, Suberitida, Halichondriidae.